UAGAAAUUUAAUUAAAAAUAUUUAAGUAGUAUUAGUUAAGAUCUUGAAAUUUAAAAAAUUUGGCGGUAUUUUAGUCUAUUCAGAGGAACCUGUUUUUUAAUCGAUAAUCCACGAUGUAUCUUACUUAGAUUUGUUUUAAUAGUUUAUAUAUCGUCGUUUAUGGAAUAUUUUAUAAAAAUAAUAAUUUUCUUAAUUUUUUAUAUAAGAAUAUAUCAGAUCAAUAUGUAGCUUAUGUCUAAGUUUAUAAUGGGUUACAAUUUUUUUAUUAAUGGAUAUAGAUUUGUAAUUUAUUUAUUGAAAUUGGAUUUGAUAGUAAAUUUAUAUAGAUUAAUAAUUUGAUUAUAGCACUAAAAUAUG
RNAcentral lists this ribosomal RNA (357 nucleotides) under Dorylomorpha albitarsis. Its description in RNAcentral is "partial 12S ribosomal RNA". The record is from RNAcentral. Lineage: Eukaryota; Metazoa; Arthropoda; Insecta; Diptera; Pipunculidae.